GUCUGCUUCAGUAGAUUGCCUUUUUAUCUGCUUCAGGAGGCUCUUACAAUCCGGUGAAACGACACCACCACGCACUCAGCGUAUUCCAAUAGACGCCUCGUGAGCAGCGGUUGCCUUUCCCCAUGAGCUCCCCUGUCCCGCGAUCCCGUUUAUGGCAUCUCUCCUCUUGAGCCCUGAGGAGAGACAGAGGGCGUGUGAGACACCAGGUCUGCAACAGGCUGCCAUCAUGUCAGGGCUUUAUUUCUACUUCAUCAUUGUCUCGUACAGACUCCGAGCCACCGUCCUUUGUUCCAAUCCGGCAUCCUCAUGUGCCAUAUUUUUCCCGUAAACAGAAAAUUUUGAGUAAACACUGCGUAUUGUCAGUUCAUCUUUUAACAAUAAUUUAAAAAAGCCACGGAUGUUGUAUCAUCGAUGCAAGAAGACGACAAAAGUACAGUACGAGGGAACUCACAAUGUGCACAACGGGACGACUCACUCGGGCGAUGGCGAGCCCACAGCAGCAGUAUGUACAUGCACCCCAGCGCCUCGAACCCGAAGACGUGCAAGUCGAUAGAAUAUGUGGAUUAUACAAAGAAUUGGGUGAGCCCCGCUGAGGAGGCGGCGCCCUUUUCCUAAACGCUGACAUGUGUUCCCUCCAGCAUAUAGGGCAUCUGUCUUGACUAUUGGCUUCCUGACUUUUUCACUACAAAAAGUUCAUUUUAUCAGACGGUCUGAAGUUUUCAAAAAAUCUUAAAAA
Long non-coding RNA from Myotis davidii, 736 nucleotides. RefSeq lists it as uncharacterized. NCBI's taxonomy places the organism in Eukaryota, Metazoa, Chordata, Mammalia, Chiroptera, Vespertilionidae. The transcript is spliced from 3 exons. The record is from RefSeq and is a predicted model, not a curated record.